RNAcentral lists this ribosomal RNA (421 nucleotides) under uncultured bacterium. RNAcentral describes it as "bacterial SSU rRNA". It matches the Rfam family "Bacterial small subunit ribosomal RNA", at positions 29 to 498 of the family's 1533-position model. The record is from RNAcentral.
AACGAACGCUGGCGGCAGGCUUAACACAUGCAAGUCGAACGCCCCGCAAGGGAGUGGCAGACGGGUGAGUAACACGUGGGAACGUGCCCUAAGGUUUGGAAUAUUCCCGGGAAACUGGGAGCAAUACCAAAUGUGUCCGCAAGGAGAAAGAUUUAUCGCCUUAGGAUCGGCCCGCGUUGGAUUAGCUAGUUGGUGGGGUAAAAGCCUACCAAGGCGACGAUCCAUAGCUGGUCUGAGAGGACGACCAGCCACACUGGGACUGAGACACGGCCCAGACUCCUACGGGAGGCAGCAGUGGGGAAUCUUGGACAAUGGGCGCAAGCCUGAUCCAGCCAUGCCGCGUGAGUGAUGAAGGCCUUAGGGUUGUAAAACUCUUUCGCCGAGGACGAUAAUGACGGUACUCGGAGAAGAAGCUCCGGCU